This 1110-nucleotide long non-coding RNA is filed under the name Pan troglodytes (chimpanzee). Its description in RNAcentral is "long non-coding RNA NONPTRT002300". Lineage: Eukaryota; Metazoa; Chordata; Mammalia; Primates; Hominidae. The record is from RNAcentral.
GUUAUUGGCUUUAAAGAGGAGGUAGAGAGAGAGAAAGAUUGGGAUGGAAAGUUUAUUUAAAUGGAUAAGAACAGAGAAUUUUCCAAACCUACAGAAAGAUAUCAAUAUCCAAGUAUAAGAAGGUAAUAAAAUGCCAAGCAGAUUUAACCCAAAUAAGACUAUCUCAAGACAUUUAAUAAUCCUUGACCCAAAUGUCAAGGAUAAAGAAAGGGUCUUAAAAACAGCAAGAGAAAAUAAGCAAAUAACAUACAAUGGAGCUCCAAUACAUCUGGCAGCAGAAUUUUUAGUGGAAACAUUUUUCUUGCUGUCUGGUUGAUAUGCAGAAUUAGUGCUGCUUCUCUACCAUUUAUUCAAUAAAUAUUAAAAUAUGUACUGGGCAUCAUUUUAAAUUCUUGAGACAUAUAGAAUAGAAAUUUGAUUUUAUAUGGUUUGACUUAAUUUUCAUGAAUCAAUCUCUGCCAGUGUGGCGCUUACAUUCUAGUGGGGGACUGGGUUGACCUGAAAUUCAAUCACAUCCAUUAUUAUAAGAGAGGGGCAGAGGAAGAUUACACAGACAAGCAUAGGAGAAGGUGACAUGAAAAUGGAGGCAGCAAUUGGAGUGACACAGCCAUUAGCCACAGGACACAAAGGAAUGCCUGCAACCACCAGCAACUGGAAGGAGUAAAGAACGGACUCUCCCACAAAAUCUCCAGAGGGACUGUGGCCUUGCCAACUCAUUGAUUACAGAACUGCGGGAGAAUAAAUUCUUGUUUUAAGCCACUGAAGUUGUAGUAAUUUGUUAUAGCAGCGCUAGGAAACUAACACAGCACAAAAACUGCAAUAUAAUUAUAAUUUUUGACAAAUGUCGAAAAUGAAAAGUACAGAAUGAUAACAGUAGAACAUGGAAAACUACAUUGUAUUGAGUAUAAUAAGGAGAGGGACAAGGGAAACAAUAUAGACUCAGUUUAUGGAAUAUCUGGUUAAUAAUCAUAGUGCUAAACACAGGCACACACUUGUAUGCAUGCAUUGCCAGAAAAAUGCCCUACCAAGCCCACAUUCCAAAACAUAAAAUUAUGUGUGUGUGUGUGUGUGUGUGUGUGUGUGUGUGUAGAUAAAUAGGCAGAUUUAAAA